Long non-coding RNA from Cephus cinctus (wheat stem sawfly), 4634 nucleotides. RefSeq lists it as uncharacterized. The transcript has 5 exons. The record is from RefSeq and is a predicted model, not a curated record. Lineage: Eukaryota; Metazoa; Arthropoda; Insecta; Hymenoptera; Cephidae.
AGCGUCUUGCAGUUUUUUUUUAAUUCACAGACUGCAGAACAAUAAAAAAAAAUGGCUUCGCCAACGAAUUACGAUCGACGAAACAGAAUUUAUUACGAUUAGAGCCUAAUGGUUCAGGCGCAGUGGCUCUGAAGUUUUAGUGCACAAUGAACGACAAGAAAUAAUACGUCACAGUAUUGGCCCAAAAUUCGCUGGACUAUAUGUAUAUAUAGUGUCUUUGGAUUUUCUACGUUGCUUUAUAGUCUGUGGUGUAAGGACUUGUCAAUGAUUAUUAGAUCAGGCAGCUUUUAGGCGUUACAGUCUACUAAUCCGCACGGUCCGUUUACUUCAGUAAAGGUACGUUCUUAUCGGGCGAUGCAAACGAAAAUUUGCACAACCAGAGCAUCGCUUUGACAAGUCCGAGUAGCGAUACGUGCAGUGGGAACGUUGCUUGAAGCCUGACUCAUAGGACAAGCCGGUUUGCGAUUAAAGCCCUUAUGCCACCUACGCAAUCGACGACAGCUUUCCUGUUAAACGUGUAGAUACAGAAGUCACCUGCCCUUAUGUGGUGCGACGAUACGUAGACUCAUUGCAGACGCGGCUUGAGGGUAUUCGAUUCACAUGACGAAGGUCAUUGCACAGAGUUCGCGUGGCGCAGCAUUGAGUCGCGCGUUGAAAAUUGGUCAGAGCUAUAAAAGGCGGUGAGGCGAUUAAAAAAAAUAAUAAUAAAAAAAGCUUGCACGGUCGCCUCGAUGAAAACGCUAGGCGAGGUUAUACGCGGGAAUAAAUACUUGGCGACGAGGUAGGAUGGCUAAAAUAGACUAAUGAAAACAGGCCACACGAGUAUUUACACGAAACGAAUAAUUACAAAGUGUCGGGAACGAUCAGCUUAAUGAGCGACUUAACUCCUUUGCUAAACACCAACACAGUAGCUACUCUGAAUUCUGUCGCUAGACGCGUCUCGUUGAGAAUUGUGUAGUUACUUUGAAAACGCGACUACUCAGUUUCUUACAGCAAUCCACCGCUUGGAAAGGCUCACCAGCCUUUGAGAAUAUUUUUGCGAAUAUUUGCCAGACUAUUCGUAACACUCGAUGCGUAUGUUUACAAGUCGCGACGCUUUACACGCAAACUUUUCUCUCGAGUGUAGCCAGACGGUAAUCGCUUAAAUGUGCUAUGGAGGACAGCCUUAAGGUCAAGAUGAGCUACGAAUUAGCUUCAGUAAUUUGUCUGUGAAUCCAUGUCCAGGAAUUGUGUGUCAGAGCACAACGUACGGAUUUGUAAAAUAUCUGAGCGAUUAAAAAUAAAUCUUCAGAAUAAUAAAGAUUAAUACUAAAUAAACAGGAUUAAUAAUGAUAUACGACCUGUUGUUUCUCGUUGGGCUUAAUGGUCAAUAAUUGUAGUCAACCAUUUUCUCAUUGCGAGGUUAAAUAUUAAACUGUCCCAAUAAACGAGUCCCUCGUCGCUUAACGUUCGUUCACAAGAUAGCGGCGACGCAUCCUGUUACGCCCUGAAGAGAAUUGAACGUUCUUGACCAAAGGGUUGAAAAAGCUGCCUUUAAAAUGACCAUUGUUCGAUGAUUUAGCACGCAUAAGAGUGACACUGACCGCGUAAUGGAGUGUCUCGGACGACGGCCAUGUAUAACCUCAAAUAAUUGAGAAGCCCGACUGGGGGGUUGGAAAAGCGAUUGGAGAGCCAGUGACCUGAGUAAUACACAUCGCCUCGAAUUAAGCAGCCUUAACGAGGUCUUCCUUUCCCCACAAUCACUAAUCCCUUGUAGUUACCAGCCACUUUGAAAGUGGCAAUCCUGACAAUCAGAACCUUAGGCUUGCUUCGAUUUACAUAGAAACACAUACCAUACGCAUUCGUAUACUUUUACAACUAGAAGAAAGGAAAAUUUGAGAUUCUAAACUGAUUAGAAUUUCCAAAAAUAUAUACCACUGUAAUCCUACCAUCGGCUUUUCUUCUCGUAGACAUUCAGCACUGUAGGAAAUUCCCCAAAAAAUCGCCGAACCGAUUCGAACCCGUGACACUCGCCUGACGCUUUAACAACGUAAAAUCGAUAUUCCGGUAUCCCUGCGAACUUGUUAAAUCAUAUGUGUCAUUGAAAACACAUGAGAGAGCGCGCGCGCAAGCAUACAAGUAUAAUAAGCACGUGUGCCUCGAGAUUCGUAAACGUUACGAAAAUAGCGUGAAUAUUCCGUUCGCACGGUUCGUUGCCAGUAAGCUGCGCAGUAGCCAACUGCGCAUCCCUUACUACGGUAACCGUCAAAUCAUUCGAGCUGAAGCGUCGUUCAAAAUUUAAAAAGAUAUCAUCCCCGCGAAUUAUACAACAAAACAUAAACCCAUCGUCCAAGACAACAAUCGAUCGUAUCGCUCUCGUUAUUUGUCACGUAACCUUAACGUAUGACGUCUCACCCAAGCGCCAAAAUUAAUUAAUACAAACUCUCAGAAUCCAACAAUUAACCAAAUCCGCCCUCUAAAAACCCCUUAAUACAGACCUAACCCAACCAGUCGCCUCAGCUUUCGCAACACUGUUACUCGCAUCAGAGCCAUAAAGAUACCAUUUUUAAAAUGCAAUACAUCGAUGAACAAUGCAAAACUAUUAUUCUCGACUCGAAGCUAAUCUCGCUGAUACAUACAGCCAGAAGAAUUGAUUUGUUUCACAGCUCAAAUUUGCCAACGAGUCCAGGGUAUUUCAGGUCCUCACCAACUCGAGUGUCGAUGAGGUUAAUAAAGUUUUCAUAGGAGCAGCAGGCAACCGAAGGUAACCAGUGCAGCAGGGCAUUCUGCGAACAUAGUGGUGAGCCGACGUUAGCGUCGUCUUAACUAGUGCUGUGAAAAUUCAAAGGCACUCCACCUAUCAAAACAGAACCAAUGGCCUAUAUAUGUACACUGUCUAAAAGCCAUAAGAGGGCAGAAGCUAAAAAAACGAACGAUAAGCGUCACACAUACUGCCGAUGGAUUCGACCGUUUCCUGCCAAAGCAGUACAGAGAUACACGUGCCAGUUGGUUGUAUUCCACAAUGAAUAACGCUGGGAUAGUGUUUGAUAAUUAUAAAGCGUGGUGCGCGACAAAAUGAUGACUUGCUGAAUAAGGAUUGUGACGUGAUUGGAUAAUAAUUUUGUACAGUAAUCAAUUUUAGGCAGACAGUUAAAUUAUUAGGAAUUUAUUAACUCAUAGUCUCAGUUACUGACAUUUUUAAGCAGAUAUUUCUGUAUUGUUUUUCUUUGCUCGAUUUGAGCAAUGUAAAGAAUUUUUCAUCUCGACCAAUCGCCAAGCAAAAUUUCCGUCAUUUACUCACAGAGUCUAAUUUUCUUAUAUACUCCUAGACACUGUACCGUCUUGUAUUGUUUAUGGCUGUUUGCACUUCCUCUUGGAAGAGAAGCAAUCGUAUAUCAAAGAUAAGUCUAAUGCCGCCGUCAAGGCAAAGAAUCUUUAUUUAAUCAGUGAUACCUUGCGAACUGUACGUACGAGGUGGAAACUCAUGACGCUUUACAAAGAAUUAAAAAAAUUUAUUUCAAAAGUCUUAUCAGGCGUAAAGGCUCUGAUAAGAAAUUUUGUAACGCGUUUUUGAGCAAUUAAUUUGAUAUACAACAGAGAUUCGUCAUGAAAAAAUAAUUGGGCGAUGAAUCACCGUCUGCAAGUGAAUCCGAAGUAGAUUUUAGAUUUACUGUUUUAUCCAAAUUUGAUAAAACAGUAAAUCUGAGAUAAGAUACUUGGUCACUGGCGAGCAACGAUAUGGCCGUGAGAACAGGCAUAUUUCUUUUGCACCUAUUUUAUUCAAUUAUGACACGGAUCUACGAAAUCAUGAAUUUCUGAUGCUUCUGUAAUGCGACGACGGACCGUUGUUAAUUUUAAAUGUUGAGAUAGCAGGACUUUGUUAAAAUUAAUAUUGUGGUAUUAAUCACGUCAAUUGUUAUGACAGGUGCACUUGUGAGAGAGGAAGAGACGAUUGGACGAUCAUCUUUUCUCAAGAUCAUUCGCUUGACUAACAAUGAUUAACGAUCUUGAGGUCAGACCGGAGAGAAAUACGUAAUCCAAUCAAAGUUAGAUCGAUUCUGUCAAUUGAAGUGAAAGCCGCUGUAUUUAUACGCAUAGGAGUGACGUUUUCUGAUCUAGUAACGGUCAGGGUCAUGGCGAAGAACGAAUUAUAAUUGCCAACGUUCUUAAACUCCUGUAAGAAUAUUGUAAAAUAGUAAUAAAUCAUUUUACAAUAGAGAUUCUGUGACAUGGACCAAUUGCGAUUAAUUCGAUUGUAGUAUCGUGAACGAUAAAUCCUAAUCAACUCCGACAUUCCAGUCAAAUUUCGACGAGUAGAGUCCGAGGGAAUAUUUUUCAGUUUGAGUCAACCUGGUGAAUGCAGUCAGAAAUAUUUUGAAAAUGUAGAUGGUAAACAAGGAAGAAAAAAAUGACUAGGAUAAAUCAAAUGCCUAAAGAGAAUUAUUGAGCGAAGACAAAAAUUAAUAAUGAAAGGUAAAACCGUUAUUUAUGUUUAGAAUUGGAAUGAAUACUAUGAAUUAUGAAACGUAUAUAGAUAGACAUUGGAAUGUCUAAAGAUACUUUAUGGACUCGUCCGUGAUAUUCGUGUUGAUUCCCUUAGCAACAUCCUUUUAUAGGUUAUAUUAUUUGCCAUUUGGUUGAAAGAUGAAAUUUUU